UGGAGUCUGAUGACCAAGGGCAGGAAGCAUCCAGCACGGGACAAAGAAGAAAGCCAGAAGACUCAGCAAGCCAGCUCAUCUCACUUUCUUCUGCCUACUUUGUUGUAGCUGAGCUGGCAGCCAGUUGGAUGGUGCACACUCACAUUGAGGAUUGGGAGGCUGCUGUGUAUGGAUAAGAUACCUGCUACAGCCAGCUUGACACCAUGAGAAGGACAAGAGAAUUGCAGAGACACAUAUCCAGGAUUCUGAUCCAGUUGAGGCACUGAAAUAAUCUAGAACCACCUUCAAAUUUCUUAUAAAGAGAGCUAUGCUAUUAGGAUUUAAUUAAAUGGAUGCCAACAGCAAGUAAACCAUCUCCAAAGAUGCCAUGAAGCUCUCCUAAUUGCAGGAAAAUAUCAGAGGCACUUGAUUUGAGUCUUUCAAGUACGGAAAUAACAAAUUCAGUCUCAACAGACCUAUAGUGAAUGAGAAUGAUUGUCACAUAAUGUGUAGAGAAAAUGGAAGAAUCAAAGGCAAGGGAAACCUGUACAGUGGAGACACAAAGGGUCACUGGCAGAUUUCAAAUGAUCCAAGACAUCCUCAAGGAAGAUUUACCACAAGUUACUUUAUCAUAGCUUUGAGUGGCAUUUUAAUAUCAUAUUUUAAAAGAAAGAAAACAAUAGAAAUGUAUUAAAAUAUCUUCUCAAGAAUCCUUCCAAACCACAAGGAAAAUCACCAGGCCAAAAGUGAGGUUUGAAGUCUGGACAUGUACUGGUUUUCUCUAGCAAUCGACUCUCAAUUUUUGGACAUUGAGAUCUGCUGGUUGGAGAUCUUAGUGCCCAAGGAAGAAUGCUUGCAAAAGGAGAUGGAACAGUGUUUCUGUUGCAUUGGCCACUGAGAAUAUCUGGUUAUUUUGAAUUUGUCACAGUCUGCAGCUAAAAGGCGAACAGGAAAAGAAGAGAGAGCGGUAAUUUGAAUGAUAGCAGAUUUCACAUCAGGAACCAAUGAAGCUAGAUAAGAAUGCAACAUCUUUGAUGUCUAAAAGAAACAAAAAGCCAACCUUGAAUUCUUUAUUUAGUGAAGUUACCCUUCAGAAAUGACGGCAAAAUAAAGAUGUUUUCCAAUAAAAGACAACUAUGAGAAUUCUUCACCAGCAGUCCUAUUGUAUCAGAACAGCCAAAAGAAGUUUGUCAGCCUACAGGGAAUUAUAUCAAAGGGAAGACUUGACCUUGAAAAUGAAUGAGGAAUAUAAGAAAUUGAUAUUAUCUGGCAGGAAUUCACUGAAUGUCUAUCUAUCAUGUAUGCUGUUGGAGGCACCUGUCUUUCAGUUCAGAGGUUAUGGAUGUAUCUAUCAUCAGUAUUUCGGGAAGUCAGGGACCCGGAACAGAGGGACUUAAUGAAGCUGUGGCAGAAGAAAAAAUUAUGAAGAUUUCAUGGACAUUUAUUAGUUCCCCAAAUUAAUACUUUUAUAAUUUCUUACA
RNAcentral lists this long non-coding RNA (1460 nucleotides) under Homo sapiens (human). Its description in RNAcentral is "HSALNT0308603". Lineage: Eukaryota; Metazoa; Chordata; Mammalia; Primates; Hominidae. The record is from RNAcentral.